RNAcentral lists this ribosomal RNA (684 nucleotides) under Cortinarius dionysae. Its description in RNAcentral is "eukaryotic LSU rRNA". The stretch from base 292 to 445 matches the Rfam family "5.8S ribosomal RNA". Lineage: Eukaryota; Fungi; Basidiomycota; Agaricomycetes; Agaricales; Cortinariaceae. The record is from RNAcentral.
GGAGUAAAAGUCGUAACAAGGUUUCCGUAGGUGAACCUGCGGAAGGAUCAUUAUUGAAAUAAACCUGAUGGGUUGUUGCUGGUUCUCUAGGGAGCAUGUGCACGCUUGUCAUCUUUAUAUCUCCACCUGUGCACCUUUUGUAGACCUGGAUAUCUCUCUGAGUGCUAGCCACUCAGGUUUGAGUAUUGACUUUGUGUCUUUUCUUACAUUUCCAGGCCUAUGUUUUCCCAUAAUACCCAAUGUAUGUCUUAGAAUGUAUUCAAUGGGCCUCUGUGCCUAUAAAAUCUAUACAACUUUCAGCAACGGAUCUCUUGGCUCUCGCAUCGAUGAAGAACGCAGCGAAAUGCGAUAAGUAAUGUGAAUUGCAGAAUUCAGUGAAUCAUCGAAUCUUUGAACGCACCUUGCGCUCCUUGGUAUUCCGAGGAGCAUGCCUGUUUGAGUGUCAUUAAUAUAUCAACCUCUUCAAAUUUUUUGUUUGAUGAGUGUUGGAUGUGGGGGAACUGCUUUGCUGGUCUAAACAGGUCAGCUCCCCUGAAAUGCAUUAGCAGAACCACUUUGCAGAUCGUUCAUUGGUGUGAUAAUUAUCUACGCUAUUAACGUGAAGUAGUUCAGCUUCUAACAGUCCAUUGACUUGGACAAUUCUCAUUAAUGUGACCUCAAAUCAGGAGGACUACCCGCUGACUA